This 342-nucleotide ribosomal RNA is filed under the name uncultured bacterium. Its description in RNAcentral is "bacterial SSU rRNA". It matches the Rfam family "Bacterial small subunit ribosomal RNA", at positions 28 to 351 of the family's 1533-position model. The record is from RNAcentral.
GACGAACGCUGGCGGCGUGCCUAACACAUGCAAGUCGAGCGAUGACGCGUCUCCUUCGGGAGACGUUGAUUAGCGGCGGACGGGUGAGUAACACGUGGGUAACCUGCCUCAAAGAGGGGAAUAGCCUCCCGAAAGGGAGAUUAAUACCGCAUAAUAUGUUUUGGUCGCAUGACUAGAACAUCAAAGGAAUUUUCUUCGGAUUAUUCCACUUUGAGAUGGACCCGCGGCGCAUUAGCUAGUUGGUGAGGUAACGGCUCACCAAGGCGACGAUGCGUAGCCGACCUGAGAGGGUGAUCGGCCACAUUGGAACUGAGACACGGUCCAGACUCCUACGGGAGGCAG